Molecule: RNA transcript, 4837 nt
Organism: Drosophila elegans
Lineage: Eukaryota; Metazoa; Arthropoda; Insecta; Diptera; Drosophilidae
Gene: MFS17
Gene name: vesicular glutamate transporter 1
Exons: 5
Source: RefSeq, a predicted model, not a curated record
UUUUAAAGCCUAAACCUCAUCAAAAAGAGUGUCAACAAAAAUGUUAAUUCUGUAUCAUGGCUCGGCGAUUAAAGCUUUUAACGAGCUCAAAGAAAAUCUCAUUGCCCAAGUAGAAAUGGUUCAACCGGAAGAUAAUAAAGAAUGUACCUUGACCAUCGAUGCUUCGGACGUCGCAAUUGAUGCAGUUUCAUCUCAAGAAGACAAAAUUCCUGCACGACUAGUGCUAUAUUUCCUUUCUUGGUCUGGUUUUCUGGUAUCUUUUAUGAUGCGCAACGACAUGAAUUUCGCUUUGGUGGCUAUGUUUACAAAUGGCAAUUCAACUCAAACCCAACAAAACGGAUCGCCAAUAAUUUUGGGCUCUGAAGAUCAAAUAUCUAUUGUAAAAUCUGUCAUAAUAAGUUCAUUCUAUUGGUGUUACGUGUUAUCACAGGUGGCUGGAGGGGUUGCUACAGAAUUGUUUGGAACCAAGUGCGUAUUUGGAUGGUCCCAGUUAGCAACAGCUUUAUGUAGCAUUUUGAUGCCGUCAGCAGCAAAAUUUCAUUACAUAGCUGUUAUUGUGUUAAGAUCUGUCCAGGGUUUUGCUUCUGGCCUCACUUGGCCUGCCAUGUAUGCAAUAGUUGGAUAUUGGAUACCACUAACGGAACGUUCACGUUUUAUGUCAAGUUUUCAAGGUUUCAGCAUUGGUAUCGGGCUAACUUACCCGUUGUGUGGAUUUAUUUUGUCAGAAUUUGGUUGGACAUACGUUUUUUAUACAACAGGUAGCUUAGGAGUUGGAUGGUGUUUAUUAUGGUAUUUACUAGCUUUUAAUACACCCCGAGAGCAUCCUCGGAUUGCUGAAGAAGAACUAAAAUACAUAGAACUUAACGUAAGAAGAGAACCACACAAUGCAGCCAAAGUUAAAGUCCCCUGGCUGCAAAUAUUUAAGUCCUUACCUGCUUGGGCGAUUGCUAUAACAACGUUUGGAAGAAUAUUUGUACAUUAUAUUUUUAUUGUUAAUGGUCCCACUUUUAUGGGAAACGUUUUAAAGUUUAAUUUUGAAACAAAUGGCUUUCUAUCUGGAAUGCCAUUUGUUUGCUCGUAUAUUUCAUCUGUAUUUUUUUGUUAUAUGGCUGAUAAAUUUGUGUUGUACAAGGUUUUAAAUCUAACUAAUGUGAGAAAAUUAUUUACAGCACUAUCACAAAUUAUUCCAGGGCUCUUGAUAUAUUGUAUCGGGUACAUAGAUAAUGUCCACAUUUUGUUAACAGUAUGGUUUAUAGCGGUGAUAUUUAUAACUGCAUCUUAUGCAGGAGCAAUGGCUAAUAUAAUUGACUUAGCGCCGAACUAUGGACAUUCUGCUGCCGUUCUGGCAUUUUGCCAAACAAUUCAUAUGUCUGCGUCCUUUAUUUCUCCGUUGACUGCUGGAUUUAUAGUAACUCGAGAGAUGGGCAUCUCACUUGGAGGAAGCACAUAGAAGCGAAGCGCGAACAUAAGUCCCGACAACUACAUUGGCUAAUAAACUACCGCUCUCCACUAAGGUGCAGCAUUAAUUCGUAAUGGCUGAGAGCAUCAUAAAACCUUUUCUUUGCGAAAAUCUGGAAAGUCCGUGCUCCGAAGGGAAUGUAUUUUCGAUAUUGGUCCAAAAACUAACAACAUACUUUUCACCUAAACCAAAUUCGACAUUCAAGAGACACCUUUUCAGGAAAAUAUCUCCUGAAGAGGGCAAAGCUUUUGGGAAAUUCAUUUUACGACUUCGCCGGCAGAUCCGAAAAUGUAGUUUUGGUUCUACGAAAACUGAGAUGGAAGAAAUAUGUUUGAAGGACAAAAUUAUUGAUACGUGGGGUAGUCCGGAACUAAAGAAGAAACUUCUUGAGAAGGAACAUACCUUAAGCGAAAUCAUUGAAGCAUGCCAGGUCGACGAAGAAAUUAAUAAGCAAUCACAGUCAAAGCUAUCGAAGCCGUUUUCAGACAAUUGGACAUCGCGGCCAACCAGUCAAAAUGAUUGUGGAAGAUGUGGGCGGUCAGGUCAGGAGAAUAGUCCUACAUGCCCAGCGCGGCAGACUAAAUGUAAUCGAUGUUCCCGACUGGGCCAUUUUGCCCGGAAAUGCCGAACUGUUUUAAAACGUCUAUACCCACCGUCGUAUGAAGUAUGUACGGUGGGUUAAAGACGGCAACCAAGAGGGAAAGGAAAUUAAUCGAGAAAACUGUUUUAAAAUAUACAUUGACGAGGAAUAUGAAAAAUGGAUUAAAUGUAGAAUUGGUGGUGAAGACGUUGCCAUGAUAAUCGAUCCCGGAUCCCGCUUAAAUAUUAUUUCUCAGCACGAUUGGUUAAAUCUCCAGGCGAAAAAGGCGACUGUUUUCAAUGUGCAUACAGAUGCACACAACCAAUUCAAAAGAUACGCUUCGGACACAAUUUUUAAUCGCAUUUGUGUUUUUGAGGCACCAAUACCGAUCAAGUCAAGCUCGGAGUUGAUUGCAUCCUUUUUUGUAAUUGAGAAAGGACGACAAUCGCUACUUGGACGGGAAACAGCAACUAAAUUGAAUGUUCUGCGGAUGAGCUUACCAGUAAAUCACAUUGAAUUAGUAACACCGUUCCCUAAGUGGAAAACUGUUAUGUUGAACCGGUGAAACAGCCCAUGAGACGUAUUCAUGUCGCGUUGGAAGGUAAGGUCAAUGCUAAGUUGGAGGAAGCGCACAAGCUUGAUAUUAUUGAACCAGUAAAUGGUCCCAGUCCUUGGAUCUCACCGAUAGUUGUUACUUUUAAAGAAAAUGGGGACAUUCGACUGCGUUUGGAUAUGAUGCAGGCCAACCGAGCGAUUCUUAGAGAAAAUUACCCUUUGCCUACGUUUGAGUCUUUUAUGACUAAGUUGAGAAACGCUAAAUUAUUUAUUAUGAAUCUCAAAGACACGUACCAUCAAUUGGAGCUAGAGGAAUUAAGUCGACAGAUCACAACUUUCAUUACACCCCAAGAGUUGUUCAGAUAUAAACGGCUGAUUUUUGGCAUAAAUGCGGCUCCUGAAAUAUUUCAGCGACGACUUGAAGAACUCCUUGCAUCGUGCAACAAUGUGAUGAAUUAUAUCGACGACAUUAUUAUUUUUGGAAGCAACGAAGAAGAGCAUGAUGAAUCUGUUAAAAAGGUUUGUGAUGUUUUCAAAGAAAAUAAACAAUGAAAAGUGCAUUUGGAAGACGAACAGAAUCAAGUUUCUGGGACAUGUGUUGACUGAUAAAGGAAUUGAAGUAGAUCCAGAGAAAAUAACAGCUAUUAAUUCUUUCCGUGCUCCCAAGACUAAGGAAGAAAUGCGUAGUUUCCUCGGAUUGGUCACAUACGUUGGUAAAUUCAUUCCCGACCUUGCUGACCUAACUGAACCGUUACGUGAGUUGUUAAAGACGGAACAGAAAUUCAACUGGAGACAAAUUGAAGAAAAUGGAUUCCAAAAGCUAAAGUCAGCAUUAUAUAAGAUCAUGAGCCUCUCAUGCUAGCCCUGUAGCUUUGGGCGCAGUAUUGUUACAAUUUAAAGAUGAUCUCAAAACAAAUAUUAUCGCUUUUGCCAGUCGAAGCUUAACUGAUGUGGUUAAAUGUUACUCACAAACAGGAAAGCAAAGUUUGGCUUUAGUCUGGGCAGUAGAGAAAUACUAUUUUUAUUUAAUAGGACUCGAGUUUGAACUAGUGACUGAUCAUAAGCCACUAGAAGCGAUUUUUAAGCCUACGUCAAAACCUCCGGAGCGUAUCGCAAGAUGACUUCUUCGUCUUCAAGCGCACAAGUUUAAAAUCAUCUAUAAGUCCGGCAAGGAAAAUAUAGCUGACAGUUUAUUCUGGUUGUGUGAGACCUUCCCCUUGUUACGACCACAAGGGCGAGCACAGCAUACUGCGAUAUAUCAAGAAUACUGCACCAACAUCAAUAGCUAUAUCUGAUAUCGCCGAAAAAAGUGCUCAGGACGAGGAAAUUAUCGACGCAAUGAUGUGCCUUCAACAGGGUUCUUGGAACUCCGCACUUUCAAAUAAACUGUACCCUUUCCGACAUGAGUUGUCAACUAUUGGUACAAUUAUGCUAAGAGGAUUUCGUAUAGUCAUUCCGUCAACCCUAAAACGAUCGGUGUUAAUACUGGCACACAAAGGCCACCCUGGCGAAUCGACAAUGAAGCAGAUUGUCAGGGAUACCGAAAAAUUUGUCAAGGACUGUCGAGAUUGUAUUUUAAUAUCCCAGACGUCACACCCACCUCCAAUGAAGAGAACCGAGUUUCCGAACGGGCCGUGGCUUUCAGUUGCUACAGACCUACUAGGGCCACUUCCGAAUAACGAAUACAUCUUAGUGUUAAUAGAUUAUUACUCGAGAUGUAUGGAGUUUAAGUUUUUGCGCUUAAUCACAUCUGAAUCGUUAAUUGAAGCGUGUAAGGAAAUUUUUAGCAGGUUAGGAUACCCAAGGCAGUUGCGGACUGAUAAUGGUCGUCAGUAUGUUAGUGGUGAGUUUCGAGUUGAGUUGAGUUUUGAGUUUCGCUUAUGAGAAAUGUUAGUCAUCUUAAAAAGAUUCCCAUAGAGACGGAAUCACCUGAUGAUACCAACAUGGAGCCCCUUCAAAAUCCUGGCUUAGGUCAAGUUUAGGAUUCAUUAACCCAAUCCAAGCAGCAAGACCCUGAGGAGAAGGACCAACAUAACCAGGAUGGAUUGAAACUGAAGCUGGUGAGGAAGGAAGGGAUGUGGGAACCGGCACCAAGGAACUAAGCCAGCGAUGACUGUUGUAGGAGAACGAGGCUAUCUCCCUUCCUAGACCUUGGAUCACUGUUCUCAACAUAAUUAGUUUAGUUUGAUUUUGGCACUCGCCGCGGAAGGAGAGUGAAAAUAAAGAACAUUUAUAAAAGACAA